Molecule: long non-coding RNA, 1204 nt
Organism: Thunnus maccoyii (southern bluefin tuna)
Lineage: Eukaryota; Metazoa; Chordata; Actinopteri; Scombriformes; Scombridae
Exons: 2
Source: RefSeq, a predicted model, not a curated record
CUCCUCGUCGUCCGACACCAAGGUCAGGUCAGCGGGGUAAGAGAAGGGAUGUGUCGACACCGGCCUCAGCAUAGUGAAAGCCAUCAUGGAUUAUGGAAACACACUCAGCCCCUGCAUUGGCUCCUGUCCUCAGAUGGCCAAUAUGAUCAGUGGCUCUGCAGUUGCCCUGUGUCAGUUUGUCUAAUGGGUUAAGUGCUGUGGGUAAAUAAACACUCAGCAGAUGCUGGAGGUGAUCAAGCCUGAACUCUCUCUGUGGAAACCGAGCAAAUGGCUUCCAGAUUGACUGGUGCUGUUGGAGGGAGGGUGGGACCGACUGCUGGAGAGCAGAGAGAGUGUCAUCAAAGGGCCUGUUUUUACAAACACAACCCUUCGACACAUCAAACCGGGGCACCAGUGGCCCCUGGCCUCUGGCUCAGCUGCACCAACAACAGCGACCUGUGCGGAACCUGGUUCCACUCAUAAAGCAGGACACCAUGGUGUUUUACCACGCUCUGCCAGCCAGCAACACGACCCUACUGCACUCUCUCUUCCCCAGCACCACCACUGCUUCACAGUUUGGAACCGUAAAUACUUAACCCGCCGCCCCCCACACACCCCCAAUCCCUCAGCCCUCUGCAUCAACUUAGAGGAAUGCCAUUAAAAGCCUGUUGAGGUGAUUAAAGUACUAAUGAAGUGUGUGGUGGGUGGGAUGUGUGUGUCAGGGAAGAUGUGAGAAUGGCAGUCAAUAAAAAUGUCUUAUUAUAAGGUUUGACUAAAUGUAGGUUUUUGAAGCUGAUACCAAUAUCAUGAAGAUGAAGCUGCAAACACAUCUCUAAUGGCCUAACUGUAUGGGACACCAGGUCCUUAAGGGGGCAGGUCAUCACUUGUUAAUUGUUCAGUGUGUUCAGUGGAUGACUCUUUUCUAAAGCAUAGACCUGGAGAACUAAACCUUCAGUCAGUUAUGGCACCGGGAUGUAGUCAAGUCAAGUCCAUUUUUAUUUUCAUAUUCCAAUAUCACAAAUCACAAAUUUUCCUAAUGUAAAAUCUAUGAAUAAUUGAUGGCAGUCCUAUGAGGUUAAAAGCUGUACUGGUCAAUAUUGUUUAUAUUAAAGAUCCCCUCCAGACAUGUUUUAAGAUAUACAGUAUAAAAAUAUUUUUCUUUGUGAAUGUAAUGUGAAAGUUCAGUUACCUUAUUAAAACUCAUUAAAGAAAGAGCAAAAUCUGA